GGGAGAGAUGGGAAUGUUGCUGGGGUGCGGCUUUCCAGGGACAGAGUGUGGACAGAGAAGAGCCAAAGAGACAACUCCAAUGUCACAGCCUCAGAAAGAGCGGAACCAAGGCCAGUGGGCCUCACAGGAGCCAGGGGAGACACCUGCAGGAGCCGUCCGCUGGGUCAAAUACUGGGAAGUCUGAGUAGCAUGUGGACAGUGAGCUGGGUGAGGAAGGAGGGAAAAGCUAAGCCCCUUCCCAGCUGCAGGCUUCCUACCUGCAGCAAGCUCAGGACGGCAGAGGCAAGAAGCCUUCAUUUUAACUCAGAUUCUGGACGGGACAUUUCACCUUCCUGCAGUGAGACAGUUUUUAUUAACUAAGAGCAACCAGAAAAGUUAUAGGAUUGCCUGAGUUUGCAGCAGUGGCCAGGGAAGAGGUGAUUCCACCGACUAAAUCGGGAGUUGCUUUGUGAUUUGAUCCUAAAAGUGCUGUUAAUUCAACGCAUUGGCCACAUUUGUCUGAAGGAACAAGGCCAGGGUGGACAGAGCUGCUGAUGGAGGACCUGUGAUGGCCUGGAGCCCAGCCCAGCUUGUCAGCUGUAGGUGGGACUUCCCAGACCCAUCCAACGCAAAGCUCCGCCACAGAGAGGAGACAGCCAUGAACUUGAGUACAGGAAAAUUAGAUCCUGACACAUAUUCAAGGAACCUGCUGCAGCUGUUUCUCCAAGAACAGAGAGCCUGGGGAUGUCCCAUCUUCAGCCCAUCAAGUCCCAAGUGCUUAGUCACCUGCUCAGCCCAGACAUGAGGGAUGCUAUCAAAGAAAAGCAAACAAUAACACACCCGUGACAAAGCCAUUUACUAAAUUAAUAGAGGCAAGGAGCAUAAAACCCUGAAAGAACGAUUAAACCUUGCAUUUGCUCCAAGCCUAUUCCUUUUCCACAUCUGCAUUUGCCAGGUCAUCUGCUCCUAACAGUCUUAUCCUUUUUGUGCCAUGAACCCCUUUGGUAGUUUGGUGACUGCCAAUAACAAAUCAAAUAAAAUAAUACAUAGAAUUACUGUCUUAAUCUGUUUUCCGUUGCUAUAACAGAAUAUCACAGACUGGGUAAUUUAUUUUUUUAAAGAAAGGUUAUUUAGCUCACAGUUCUGGAGGCUGAGAAGUCCAAGAGCAUGGCACCAGCCUCUGGCAAGGGCCUUUGUGCUGCAUGAUGAUGCAUCCCAGCAUGGGACAUGGUGAGAGAGCAAGAGCGAGAGAGCCAGAGAGAGCUCCAUGUUAUAACAAAAUCACUCCUGUGAUAA
This 1275-nucleotide long non-coding RNA is filed under the name Macaca mulatta (Rhesus monkey). RNAcentral's name for it is "lncRNA (ENSMMUG00000042406.2)". The record is from RNAcentral. Lineage: Eukaryota; Metazoa; Chordata; Mammalia; Primates; Cercopithecidae.